RNAcentral lists this ribosomal RNA (268 nucleotides) under uncultured Cryomorphaceae bacterium. RNAcentral describes it as "partial 23S ribosomal RNA". It matches the Rfam family "Bacterial large subunit ribosomal RNA", at positions 1 to 280 of the family's 2925-position model. Lineage: Bacteria; Pseudomonadati; Bacteroidota; Flavobacteriia; Flavobacteriales; Cryomorphaceae. The record is from RNAcentral.
AAGAAGGUAAGUAAGGGCGCAUGGCGGAUGCCUUGGCUCUCAGAGGCGAUGAAGGACGUGAUAAGCUGCGAUAAGCUUCGGGUAGGUGCAAAUAACCUUUUAUCCGGAGAUUUCCGAAUGGGGCAACCCAGUGUUAUGAAGUAACAUUAUUCCUGCUUGCAGGAAAGCUAACCCAGUGAACUGAAACAUCUAAGUAACUGGAGGAAUAGAAAACAAUAGUGAUUCCCUUAGUAGCGGCGAGCGAAAGGGGAAUAGCCCAAAUCUCAGC